Arvicanthis niloticus (Nile rat) is the source of this 1189-nucleotide non-coding RNA. The record is from RefSeq and is a predicted model, not a curated record. Lineage: Eukaryota; Metazoa; Chordata; Mammalia; Rodentia; Muridae.
UCCGUCGCCGGUCCACACCUGCCACCAGUUCGCCAUGGAUGAUGAUAUCGCUGCGAUCGGAGUCAACAACAGCUCCGCCGGCUUUGCGGGCGAUGAUGCUCCCCGGGCUGUCAUCCCCUCCAUUGUGAGCCGCCCUAGGCACCAGGGUGUGAUGGUGGGUAUGGGUCAGGACUCCUACGUGGGAGACGAGGCCCAGAGCAAAAGAGGCAUCCUGACCCUGAAGUACCCCAUUGAACACGGCAUUGUCACCAACUGGGACAAUAUGGAGAAGAUCUGGCACCACACCUUCUACAAUGAGCUGCGUGUAGCCCCUGAGGAGCACCCUGUGCUGCUCACCGAGGCCCCCCUGAAGGUCAACUGUGAAAAGAUGACCCAGAUCAUGUUUGAGACCUUCAACACCCCAGCUAUGUACGUAGCCAUCCAGGCUGUGCUGUCCCUGUAUGCCUCUGGUCGUACCACUGGCAUUGUGAUGGACUCCUGAGACAGGGUCACCCACACUGCGUCCAUCUAUGAGGGCUACGUCUGGACCUGGCUGGUCGGGACCUGACAGACUACCUCAUGAAGAUCCUGACUGAGUGUGGCUACAGCUUUACCACCACAGCUGAGAGGGAAAUCGUGUGUGACAUGAAAGAGAAGCUGUGCUAUGUUGCCCUAGACUUCGAGCAGGAGAUGGCCAGUGCCGCAUCCUCUUCCUCCCUGGAGAAGAGCUAUGAGCUUCCUGAUGGCCGGGUCAUCACUAUUGGCAAUAAGCGGUUCCGAUGCCCAGAGGCUCUUUUCCAGCCUUCCUUCUUGGGUAUGGAAUCCUGUGGCAUCCACGAAACUACAUUCAAUUCUAUCAUGAAGUGUGACGUUGACAACCGUAAAGACCUCUAUGACAACACAGUGCUGUCUGGUAGCACCGCCAUGUACCCAGGCAUUGCUGACUUGAUGUAGAAGGAGAUCACUGCUCUGGCUCCUAGCACCAUGAAGAUCAAAAUCAUUGCUCCUCCUGAGCACAAGUACUCUGUGUGGAUCUGUAGCUCCAUCCUGGCCUCACUGUCCACCUUCCAGCAGAUGUGGAUCAGCAAGCAGGAGUACGAUGAGUCCGGCCCCUCCAUCAUGCACCGCAAAUGCUUCUAGGCGGACUGUUACUGAGCUGCGUUUUUACACCCUUUCUUUGACAAAACCUAACUUGUGCAGAAAAAAAAAA